CCUACGGGAGGCAGCAGUGGGGAAUAUUGGACAAUGGGCGCCAUGAAUCCAGCAAUGCCGCGUGUGUGAAGAAGGCCUGCGGGUUGUAAAGCACUUUAAGCAGGAAAGAAGGUUUCAAGGCUAAUAUCCUUGGAAAUUGACGUUACCUGCAGAAUAAGCACCGGCUAACUCCGUGCCAGCAGCCGCGGUAAUACGGAGGGUGCGAGCGUUAAUCGGAAUUACUGGGCGUAAAGCGCGCGUAGGCGUUUGAACUAAGUCUGCUGUGAAAGCCCUGGGCUUAACCUGGGGAACGGCAGUGGAUACUGGUCGGCUAGAGUAUGGUAGAGGAGAGCGGAAUUUCCGGUGUAGCGGUGAAAUGUGUAGAUAUCGGAAGGAACAUCAGUGGCGAACGGGCUUCCUGGUCCAGCACCGACGUUCAGGCACGAAAAGCGUGGGGAGCAAACAGGAUUAGAUACCCUGGUAGUCCACGCCAUAAACGAUGAGGACUAGACGUUGGAGGGGUUAGCCUUUCAGUGUCGCAGCUAACGCGAUUAAAUCCUCCGCCUGGGGAGUACGGCCGCAAGUUGAAACUCAAAGGAAUUGACGG
Molecule: ribosomal RNA, 586 nt
Filed under: unidentified proteobacterium
Lineage: Bacteria; Pseudomonadati; Pseudomonadota
Description: bacterial SSU rRNA
Rfam family: Bacterial small subunit ribosomal RNA
Source: RNAcentral